Phascolarctos cinereus (koala) is the source of this 1287-nucleotide non-coding RNA. The record is from RefSeq and is a predicted model, not a curated record. NCBI's taxonomy places the organism in Eukaryota, Metazoa, Chordata, Mammalia, Diprotodontia, Phascolarctidae.
CAUUGUACCACCUAGUUGCCCAUGUAUGCUUAUCUAUAUGUUAUCUUCCAUGAUAAACUCCUUGAAGAAGUGGGGCACUAUGGGCUUUAAACCCAGCCCUUUCCCCACUACCCCACCCUGCUAGUGGAUGCCCAAGGUCGCUUCCAGCUCUGCCAUCCUGGGAUUCUGCACUCACAAAGAUAUCUCUGGCAACACCCCUGCCACCUUCACACCGCCUCCUCCACCUUCUCCUGGUGGGUGGAUACACAGGGCUGGAUUUGUCUUCUUCCUCUUUUUCUGCCUGAUCCUACACAGAAGACCUAUUCAGUGUGUUGGAUGUCUUCCUCUGGAUUUUUUUUCAUAUGUCGUGGGCACCGGUGAAACAUUCAGACUUUUCCCUCUUUGUCGCCUCAUUCUUAUUUCAUGACUUGCCCACCUCCUCUUCUGAUCCGAUGCUGUCUUGAUGACAUCCCUUGCAGGUCGUCCUUGAGAACAUAUUGUGAUCUACUUGCAACCCCACCUCCCAUGCCUCAUCGCAUCACCCUUUGGGUCAUCAACAAUUUUGAUUGCCUAGUGGUGGCGGUAUUCUAAGACAUUUUGACUGUGCAGCAUCUCCACAAGUAUAUCUGAGUUAAAAAGACAGGUCACCUUGCUGGGGAGCAGCUUGGGAAUAAUAGAAGCCCUACCCAAUUUCCUAAAUGCAAUCUGGCUUGUUGAUGCCUUUCCUCUGUUGAUCAUUUCCAACCUAUGCUAUAUAUAGCUUGUUUGGAUAAAGUUUACAUGUUGUUGUCUCCAUUAGACGAUGAAUUCUGUGAAAUCAGGAACUACUUUUUGCCUUUCUUUGUAUCUCUAGCACUUAGGACAGUGUCUGGCACAUAGCAGGUGCUUAAGAAAAGUUUACUGACUGGUCUCAACUCACCGUCCAUCAGCUGUGUCUUUCUUAAAUAUAUGUACCAGUGGACUAAUUCAGUGGCUUGGCUAUCUGACUUGUGUGUCAAAGCCUGGACAAGAAGCAUUUUUUUUCUCCAUUUAAUUAUUCCUAUCUGGAUCAUUAGGGUGAUUGCUUUUAAGUGAUGACAGUUUCUCUUGGGGGGGAGGGAAUACAAUGUUCAUGAUUCAAUAAAUACAAUAUCAUAUGCAAAAAAUGGUAACUGGAGGAACUCAAUCUCAUUUUAUUUGGCCCUCGUACAUCAAGAUAUUAGGCAUGACAGCAGCAAACACUACUGAUGAGGGAUGUCUUCCUGUUUUAUGCCUCACUUGACAUUAAUCAUCAGAUGGCUGCUGAACAGAAAAGUCUCUGUAGUUGCA